CUGGCUCAGAGCGAACGGUGGCGGCGUGGAUUAGGCAUGCAAGUCGAGCGCGAAAGGCCCGCAAGGGCUGAGUAAAAGCGGCGGACGGGUGAGUAACGUAUGGACAACCUACCUCCAACCCGGGGAUAACAGCUGGAAACGGCUGCUAAUACCCGAUAGCUCCGGUAGCGAAUUUCGCAGCCGGAUAAAGGGGGGCAACUCCCAGUUAGAGAGGGGUCCAUAUCCCAUCAGCUAGUUGGCGGGGUAAUGGCCCACCAAGGCAACGACGGGUAGCCGGACUGAGAGGUCGACCGGCCACAUCGGGACUGAGACACUGCCCGGACUCCUACGGGAGGCUGCAGUCGAGAAUCUUCCGCAAUGUGCGAAAGCAUGACGGAGCGACGCCGCGUGCAGGAUGAAGGCCUCGGUGUAACUGCUGUCACCCGUUAACGAACGUUACAGUUAAC
This 446-nucleotide ribosomal RNA is filed under the name uncultured bacterium. Its description in RNAcentral is "bacterial SSU rRNA". It matches the Rfam family "Bacterial small subunit ribosomal RNA", at positions 19 to 463 of the family's 1533-position model. The record is from RNAcentral.